CCUACGGGUGGCAGCAGUGAGGAAUAUUGGUCAAUGGGCGAAAGCCUGAACCAGCCAUGCCGCGUGAAGGUCAGUGGCCUUUGGGGGUUAAACCUCUUUUGUGCGGGGGCAAUAAUGGUCACGUGUGUCCAGACGAGAGUACCGGAUGAAGCAGGACCGGCUAAUUCCGUGCCAGCAGCCGCGGUAAUACGGAGGGUGCGGGCGUUAUCCGGAUUUAUUGGGGUUAAAGGGGGCGUAGGCCGCAUGUCAAGCGUGCUGUGAAAUGGCCGGGCUCAACCCGGGCCUUGCAGCGCGAACUGGCGAUCUUGAGUCUGCGGGAGGCAGGCGGAAUUCGUGGUGUAGCGGUGAAAUGCUUAGAUAUGACGAAGAACCCCGAUUGCGAAGGCAGCUUGCUGCAGCAGAACUGACGCUGAGGCUCGAAAGCGCGGGUAUCGAACAGGAUUAGAUACCCGAGUAGUC
RNAcentral lists this ribosomal RNA (459 nucleotides) under uncultured bacterium. RNAcentral describes it as "partial 16S ribosomal RNA". It matches the Rfam family "Bacterial small subunit ribosomal RNA", at positions 338 to 795 of the family's 1533-position model. The record is from RNAcentral.